GGCUGUAGUUCAAAAAAUAGUGCUCACGAGAACUGCUAAUAUCCUACGUAAAAUGCUCUCUAUGUAAUCUCAAA
Octopus sinensis (East Asian common octopus) is the source of this 74-nucleotide long non-coding RNA. RefSeq lists it as uncharacterized. The record is from RefSeq and is a predicted model, not a curated record. The transcript is spliced from 3 exons. NCBI's taxonomy places the organism in Eukaryota, Metazoa, Mollusca, Cephalopoda, Octopoda, Octopodidae.